RNAcentral lists this ribosomal RNA (253 nucleotides) under uncultured bacterium. RNAcentral's name for it is "partial 16S ribosomal RNA". It matches the Rfam family "Bacterial small subunit ribosomal RNA", at positions 524 to 776 of the family's 1533-position model. The record is from RNAcentral.
GACAGAGGGUGCAAGCGUUGUUCGGAAUCAUUGGGCGUAAAGCGCACGUAGGCGGUCGCGUAAGUCCGACGUGAAAGCCCUGGGCUCAACCCAGGAAGUGCAUCGGAUACUGCGCGACUUGAGUCCCGGAGAGGGUGGUGGAAUUCCUGGUGUAGAGGUGAAAUUCGUAGAUAUCAGGAGGAACACCGGUGGCGAAGGCGACCACCUGGACGGAGACUGACGCUGAGGUGCGAAAGCGUGGGGAGCAAACAGG